AUUGAACGCUGGCGGCAGGCCUAACAAAUGCAAGUCGAACGAGUGGCGGACGGGAGAGUAAUGUCUGGGAAACUGCCUGAUGGAGGGGGAUAACGACUGGAAACGGUAGCUAAUACCGCAUACCAUCAGAUGUGUCCAGAUGGGAUUAGCUUGUUGGUGGGGUAACGGCUCCACAAGGGGACGAUCCUUAGAUGGUCUGAGAGGAGGCCCAGCCACCAGGGAACUGGGACACGGUCCAGAAUCCUACGUGAGGCAGCAGUGGGUAAGAUGGCACAAUGGGCGCAAGCCUGAUGCAGCCAUGCCGCGUGUAUGAAGAAGGCCUUCGGGUUGUAAAGUACUUUCAGCGGGGAGGCGUUACCCGCAGAAUAAGCACCGGCUAACUCCGUGCCAGCCGCCGCGGUAAUUC
RNAcentral lists this ribosomal RNA (406 nucleotides) under uncultured bacterium. RNAcentral describes it as "partial 16S ribosomal RNA". It matches the Rfam family "Bacterial small subunit ribosomal RNA", at positions 30 to 526 of the family's 1533-position model. The record is from RNAcentral.